This is a non-coding RNA of Malassezia japonica, 92 nucleotides long. Lineage: Eukaryota; Fungi; Basidiomycota; Malasseziomycetes; Malasseziales; Malasseziaceae. The record is from the annotation of a RefSeq genome assembly.
UCCUAGUUAGUACAACGGUUAGUAUAUGUCGCUCUCAUGAAUUUCGAUUGUGAAGCGCCGACAAGACCCGGGUUCGACUCCCGGAUUGGGAA